GACGAACGCUGGCGGCGUGCUUAACACAUGCAAGUCGAACGGAAAGGCCCUGCUUGCGGGGUACUCGCGUAGCGAACGGGUGAGUAACACGUGGGUGGUCUGCCCUGCACUUCGGGAUAAGCCUGGGAAACUGGGUCGAAUACCGAAUAGGUGACAUAUUUAGUGUGAUGGUUGGAAAGUUUUUUCGGUGUAGGAUGAGCUGGCGGGCUAUCAGCUUGUUGGUGGGGUAAUGGCCUACCAAGGCGGCGGCGGGUAGCCGGCCUGAGAGGGUGGACGGCCACAUAGGGACCUAGGGGCGGCACAGGCUCGGACGGGAGGCAGCAGUGGGGAAUAUUGAACAAUGGGCGCAAGGCUGAUGCAGCGAGGCCUCGUGUGGUAUGACGGUCUUCUGGUUGUAAACUCCUUUCGCAAGGGACGAUGCUUUUUGUGACGGUACCUAGAUAAGAAGCACCGGCUAACUACGUG
This 465-nucleotide ribosomal RNA is filed under the name uncultured bacterium. Its description in RNAcentral is "partial 16S ribosomal RNA". It matches the Rfam family "Bacterial small subunit ribosomal RNA", at positions 28 to 507 of the family's 1533-position model. The record is from RNAcentral.